Molecule: long non-coding RNA, 530 nt
Filed under: Homo sapiens (human)
Lineage: Eukaryota; Metazoa; Chordata; Mammalia; Primates; Hominidae
Description: PREDICTED lncRNA (TCONS_00257348)
Source: RNAcentral
UGAUGAUUUUGCAAAGGGGUUUCCCCCUUUGCUUGGCUCUCAUUCUCUCUUGUCUGCCACCAUGUAACAUGUGCCUGCUGCCUUCCACUAUGGUUUUGAGGCCUCCCCAGCCACGUGAAACUACUAAAUCCUGCGGAGCAGGCUCACAGCACAGGGCUGCUUACGGAGAAGACAAGACGACAGGAUGCACGAGGAGAGUGUGUGACAAUGUGAUUCCCCAGCAGAUGACCUACAGUAAUGACACAGUACAGAGGGUGUCCAAAGAAACAUUGUAAGGGGCCCAUGGGGCUGUGAAGCAUUGAGAAAUCUGAGCUGAGCUCUCACCAGCCUGGUAAAUUCCACUGGCACCAAGAUGCUGAGCCAAUUUAAAUGCAAAGCAAAAAACUUGCAAUGUUUGCCAGACUCUUUAAAAUGUAAUUAUAGCAACCCAUUCAAGGAUCAGUUUAACGUAUAAGCAACUUGGAGAAGACUGCUGAUCCCAUUCAAACAUUUUACAUUCCACAUACCUACGCAAUGACAUUACCUGGAGG